CCUAUGGGAGGCAGCAGUGAGGAAUAUUGGUCAAUGGGCGAGAGCCUGAACCAGCCAAGUCGCGUGAAGGAUGACGGCCCUACGGGUUGUAAACUUCUUUUGUCAGGGAGCAAUUGGGUCCACGCGUGGGCUUAGCGAGAGUACCUGAAGAAAAAGCAUCGGCUAACUCCGUGCCAGCAGCCGCGGUAAUACGGAGGAUCCGAGCGUUAUCCGGAUUUAUUGGGUUUAAAGGGAGCGUAGGUGGAUUGUUAAGUCAGUUGUGAAAGUUUGCGGCUCAACCGUAAAAUUGCAGUUGAAACUGGCAGUCUUGAGUACAGUAGAGGUGGGCGGAAUUCGUGGUGUAGCGGUGAAAUGCUUAGAUAUCACGAAGAACUCCGAUUGCGAAGGCAGUUCACUGGACUGCAACUGACACUGAGGCUCGAAAGUGUGGGUAUCAAACAGGAUUAGAUACCCUUGUAGUC
Molecule: ribosomal RNA, 461 nt
Filed under: uncultured bacterium
Lineage: Bacteria
Description: partial 16S ribosomal RNA
Rfam family: Bacterial small subunit ribosomal RNA
Source: RNAcentral